This 271-nucleotide unclassified non-coding RNA is filed under the name air metagenome. RNAcentral's name for it is "partial contains small subunit ribosomal RNA, internal transcribed spacer 1, and 5.8S ribosomal RNA". The stretch from base 1 to 46 matches the Rfam family "Eukaryotic small subunit ribosomal RNA", at positions 1786 to 1831 of the family's 1831-position model. The record is from RNAcentral.
AAGUCGUAACAAGGUUUCCGUAGGUGAACCUGCGGAAGGAUCAUUACCGAGAUAGGGUUCCUUAUGGGCCCGACCUCCAACCCCAUGUUUACAAACUUUGUUGCCUCGGCGGGACAGUCGGACGCCCCCAACGGGGCGGCCGCCCACAGCCCUCUUCAAACAGGGCCUUGGAGUUUCCCGUCGCAGGACCAAUUCAAAACUCCUUUGAACGAGCCUUCUGAGUAAAAAACAAAAUUCUUCAAAACUUUCAACAACGGAUCUCUUGGUUCUG